AACGAACGCUGGCGGCGUGGAUAAGACAUGCAAGUUGAACGCUGAUUAGAGGGUAGCAAUAUUUUUCUAGUCGGAGUAGCGCAAGGGUGCGUAACACGUGGGUAAUCUGCCGUGAAGACUGGAAUAACUCGCUGAAAGGCGAGCUAAUACCGGAUGUGAUUUCUGGAGGGCAUCUUCUGGAAAUCAAAGCUGGGGACCGCAAGGCCUGGCACUUUGCGANGAGCCCGCGGCCUAUCAGCUAGUUGGUGAGGUAACGGCUCACCAAGGCUAAGACGGGUAGCUGGUCUGAGAGGACGACCAGCCACACUGGAACUGAGACACGGUCCAGACCACCGUACGGGUGGCAGCAGUCG
RNAcentral lists this ribosomal RNA (353 nucleotides) under uncultured bacterium. Its description in RNAcentral is "partial 16S ribosomal RNA". It matches the Rfam family "Bacterial small subunit ribosomal RNA", at positions 29 to 357 of the family's 1533-position model. The record is from RNAcentral.